CUAUCGAUAGAGCUUUAUUUGAAGUAAACAUAACCAAGGAGAGUUGGAACAUAUGUGCAUGCGUAAAAUUUAUAUCACGCGCCUUAAGUCGAAUUCACAUAAUCACGUGUGAUGUACCUUCCAUCACUGUCUGGUGGUAUAAUAAUUAUAAGAUAAAUAACGACGAGGAGUGAUACGUAUGCAUAAUAGACAUCAGUUCUCUUAGAACUCGUUAGUAAUGAUGUCUUUAAUUUAUUCAUAGUACGCAGUUAUCAUACAGUAGUUCCAUCCAUAGUAUUUUUUCUUAUUAUUUUUUAUUUUUAGUUCAAUGUUCAAUAUUCGAUGUUGCACGUGAGUGGCAAGAUAUGAGAAAGAUACUGAAAUCAGUAGUGUAUUUAGGGCAGCAAUUUUGGUUGAUUUAGAUUGUUUUUGUAAUAUAAUAUGUAUAAUAAACUAGAUUGCUAAUUAGCCUAUAUAGUCUAUAUAUUUCGUUUGAAGUCAACAUCUGUCAUUUAAAUUGAGGCCAGAACGCCUUAUUA
Cinara cedri is the source of this 518-nucleotide non-coding RNA. Lineage: Eukaryota; Metazoa; Arthropoda; Insecta; Hemiptera; Aphididae. The record is from the annotation of a GenBank genome assembly.